Molecule: transfer RNA, 50 nt
Filed under: Aristolochia australopithecurus
Lineage: Eukaryota; Viridiplantae; Streptophyta; Magnoliopsida; Piperales; Aristolochiaceae
Description: Pararistolochia australopithecurus partial tRNA-Leu
Source: RNAcentral
AAAAUCCGUUGACUUUUGAAAUUGGGGGGGGUCCAGGCCCUCUUUCCCCA